RNAcentral lists this ribosomal RNA (207 nucleotides) under uncultured Burkholderiales bacterium. Its description in RNAcentral is "partial 16S ribosomal RNA". It matches the Rfam family "Bacterial small subunit ribosomal RNA", at positions 568 to 774 of the family's 1533-position model. The record is from RNAcentral. Lineage: Bacteria; Pseudomonadati; Pseudomonadota; Betaproteobacteria; Burkholderiales.
UGCGCAGGCGGUUGUACAAGACGGAUGUGAAAUCCCCGGGCUUAACCUGGGAAUGGCAUUCGUGACUGUACGGCUAGAGUGUGUCAGAGGGGGGUAGAAUUCCACGUGUAGCAGUGAAAUGCGUAGAUAUGUGGAGGAAUACCGAUGGCGAAGGCAGCCCCCUGGGAUAACACUGACGCUCAUGCACGAAAGCGUGGGGAGCAAACA